AAGCUCGUAGUUGAAUUUCGUGCCUGGCUGGGCGGUCCGCUUAACGGCGUGUACUGUCUGGCUGGGUCUUACCUCUUGGUGAGCCGGCGUGCCCUUUAUUGGUGUGCGUCGGGGAACCAGGACUUUUACCUUGAGAAAAUUAGAGUGUUCAAAGCAGGCCUAUGCCCGAAUACAUUAGCAUGGAAUAAUAAAAUAGGACGUGCGGUUCUAUUUUGUUGGUUUCUAGAGUCGCCGUAAUGAUUAAAGGAGUAGUGGGU
RNAcentral lists this ribosomal RNA (257 nucleotides) under uncultured Basidiomycota. RNAcentral's name for it is "partial 18S ribosomal RNA". It matches the Rfam family "Eukaryotic small subunit ribosomal RNA", at positions 624 to 885 of the family's 1831-position model. Lineage: Eukaryota; Fungi; Basidiomycota. The record is from RNAcentral.